CAUCAGUUUAAUAGGUGCCUUUGGCCCACUGUGCAAUGGCUAUAAACUGCCAAUUCCUUGGAAGUGCAUGCAUACUGUUCCUUGUAUGGAUCGCCCUAAGGGACCUUGGAGAUGGCC
RNAcentral lists this small nucleolar RNA (117 nucleotides) under Octodon degus (degu). RNAcentral's name for it is "Small nucleolar RNA SNORA70 (ENSODEG00000020612.1)". It matches the Rfam family "Small nucleolar RNA SNORA70", at positions 23 to 135 of the family's 135-position model. From Rfam's summary of the family: snoRNA U70 seems to be exclusive to mammals and is a member of the H/ACA class of snoRNA which contain H (ANANNA) and ACA box motifs. H/ACA box snoRNAs are involved in the conversion of uridines to pseudouridines (5-ribosyluracil) a constituent of structural RNAs (transfer, ribosomal, small nuclear, and small nucleolar). Lineage: Eukaryota; Metazoa; Chordata; Mammalia; Rodentia; Octodontidae. The record is from RNAcentral.